Molecule: non-coding RNA, 30 nt
Filed under: Homo sapiens (human)
Lineage: Eukaryota; Metazoa; Chordata; Mammalia; Primates; Hominidae
Source: RNAcentral
UGUGGUGUCAUCUUGCCCAGGACAGCAGGC